RNAcentral lists this transfer RNA (94 nucleotides) under Malassezia globosa. Its description in RNAcentral is "tRNA-Arg". It matches the Rfam family "tRNA". From Rfam's summary of the family: Transfer RNA (tRNA) molecules are approximately 80 nucleotides in length. Their secondary structure includes four short double-helical elements and three loops (D, anti-codon, and T loops). RNAcentral also lists the same sequence under 1 other name. The record is from RNAcentral. Lineage: Eukaryota; Fungi; Basidiomycota; Malasseziomycetes; Malasseziales; Malasseziaceae.
GGUCUACUGGCGCAAUGGUAGCGUAUCAGCCUUCUAUGCUGAUACCUCGCGUAGAGCGAGCUGAGGGUUGCGGGUUCGAGCCCCGCGUGGACCU